UAUGGAGCCUUCGCCUGUCCGAUCCUCCUGCCUUGGUAUGGGGAAGCGCUGAAGCGCUGGCUGAGCCCCGAAGCCGCCCUGUGCUGUUAUUGGUGUCAAAACCGCACUUUAGGGAUGCUUCCUUACAAGGGAAUUCAAUCGUUAUAGCCUUUUGGAUUGGACUUGCUGCUUUUGUGGCAUUUCUCUUCUUUAUUUUGUUCUACAUCUCUCAGACUGGUUACACAUCAAUAAAGAAUGGAAGACCACACAAAACAUUUCCAUGGAAUUAUUCAAAAAAUAAACACUCACAAGAUGUGGUUUCUAAACAUGCUGGACCAACCCUUGCAGAAAACCAAGUGGAGGAAACAGAAGGUUCAAGAUUAAGUAAUGCACAGAAAUAGAAUGGCACAGACUGGUGGCCUAGGAGAAAUUGUGGGGAUGGGGAUGAGGAAGUAUUUAGAAAUUCUCCCUCUCUAGAUGCAACUCUCACCUUACUGGAUAUGAUAAGCUCUUAGGGGCUUAAGCAGACCCCCUCCACUGUUUUCCUUUUUCCUUAACCAACUCAGAUUGGCAUGCUAGUCAAAUAUUGACCAUCUAUUGUG
This is an RNA transcript of Gekko japonicus, 581 nucleotides long. It is a transcript of the gene named melanocortin 2 receptor accessory protein, with no coding region annotated. The transcript has 3 exons. NCBI's taxonomy places the organism in Eukaryota, Metazoa, Chordata, Lepidosauria, Squamata, Gekkonidae. The record is from RefSeq and is a predicted model, not a curated record.